UUUAGAAAUACAUAGUGAAAUGUUACAAAGAAAAUGAAGGAAACUAGAAUAUGAUGGAGAGAAUUGAUGCUUCAAAAUCGUGGCCAAGGUCCCCUUUUAUAGGCAAAGGAACAUCCAAAAUUCAAGUAGGCAAUGCAACUUGUUUCUGUCCAGCUUCAAGACAGCUGGAACAUGCAACUUGAUGCCAAUUUUCAGAUAUAUUGUGC
Molecule: long non-coding RNA, 206 nt
Filed under: Olea europaea (common olive)
Lineage: Eukaryota; Viridiplantae; Streptophyta; Magnoliopsida; Lamiales; Oleaceae
Description: long non-coding RNA (OEUR_LNC014279)
Source: RNAcentral